Molecule: ribosomal RNA, 506 nt
Filed under: uncultured bacterium
Lineage: Bacteria
Description: bacterial SSU rRNA
Rfam family: Bacterial small subunit ribosomal RNA
Source: RNAcentral
AGUGAACGCUGGCGGCAGGCCUAACACAUGCAAGUCGAGCGGCAGCGCGGGGGCAACCCUGGCGGCGAGCGGCGGACGGGUGAGGAAUGCAUCGGAAUCUACCUCGUUGUGGGGGAUAACCUCGGGAAACCGGGACUAAUACCGCAUACGACCUACGGGUGAAAGUGGGGGACCUUCGGGCCUCACGCGAUGAGAUGAGCCGAUGCCGGAUUAGCUAGUUGGCGGGGUAAAGGCCCACCAAGGCGACGAUCCGUAGCUGGUCUGAGAGGAUGAUCAGCCACACUGGAACUGAGACACGGUCCAGACUCCUACGGGAGGCAGCAGUGGGGAAUCUUCCGCAAUGGGCGCAAGGCCUGACCGGAGCAACGCCGCGUGAGUGAAGAAGGGUUUCGACUCGUAAAGCUCUGUUGUCGGGGACGAAUGUGGAGAUGGUGAAUAACCAUUUCCAAUGACGGUACCUGACGAGGAAGCCACGGCUAACUACGUGCCAGCAGCCGCGGUAAAGU